GACGAACGCUGGCGGCGUGCCUAAUACAUGCAAGUCGAACGAGAGCGACCGGUGCUUGCACUGGUCAAUCUAGUGGCGAACGGGUGAGUAACACGUGGGUAACCUGCCCAUCAGAGGGGGAUAACAUUCGGAAACGGAUGCUAAAACCGCAUAGGUCUUCGAACCGCAUGGUUUGAAGAGGAAAAGAGGCGCAAGCUUCUGCUGAUGGAUGGACCCGCGGUGCAUUAGCUAGUUGGUGAGGUAACGGCUCACCAAGGCCGUGAUGCAUAGCCGACCUGAGAGGGUGAUCGGCCACAUUGGGACUGAGACACGGCCCAAACUCCUACGGGAGGCAGCAGUAGGGAAUCUUCCGCAAUGGACGCAAGUCUGACGGAGCAACGCCGCGUGAGUGAAGAAGGUUUUCGGAUCGUAAAACUCUGUUGUUAGAGAAGAACAAGUGCUAGAGUAACUGUUAGCACCUUGACG
RNAcentral lists this ribosomal RNA (465 nucleotides) under Granulicatella adiacens. Its description in RNAcentral is "bacterial SSU rRNA". It matches the Rfam family "Bacterial small subunit ribosomal RNA", at positions 28 to 474 of the family's 1533-position model. Lineage: Bacteria; Bacillati; Bacillota; Bacilli; Lactobacillales; Carnobacteriaceae. The record is from RNAcentral.